Non-coding RNA from Echinops telfairi (small Madagascar hedgehog), 115 nucleotides. NCBI's taxonomy places the organism in Eukaryota, Metazoa, Chordata, Mammalia, Afrosoricida, Tenrecidae. The record is from Rfam.
CGCGGGUCCAAGGCCUGUAGCCCCAAAUCGGGAUAAUCUCUGCAGCUUGAUAACGAGCAAAAGGAGAAGCCAGGCAACAGCCCAUAUUAAAGAAGAAAAGCAAUCGACUCUGAGG